Molecule: long non-coding RNA, 222 nt
Filed under: Ananas comosus (pineapple)
Lineage: Eukaryota; Viridiplantae; Streptophyta; Magnoliopsida; Poales; Bromeliaceae
Description: long non-coding RNA (ACOM_LNC007549)
Source: RNAcentral
AAUAUCUCCCUUAAUUAUUAUGAUUAUUAUUCUUCUUCUUUUAUGAUUGAGACCUUCUAAACUUUAAAAUCCUUUUAUUCGAGUUAUAAUUAAAUUCGAUGGAACCAUCAAUAUAUUUGAUAAAACUCUCAAUUUCUUUUACUGUAAGAUCAUAAAAUAAGAAGCGCGGUCAGAGAAAGUUGAAAGAAUUUCUUCUAUUUUUAAUUUGUGCUUUUUUAUUUA